Sinocyclocheilus grahami is the source of this 383-nucleotide long non-coding RNA. RefSeq lists it as uncharacterized. The record is from RefSeq and is a predicted model, not a curated record. The transcript has 3 exons. NCBI's taxonomy places the organism in Eukaryota, Metazoa, Chordata, Actinopteri, Cypriniformes, Cyprinidae.
CCUUAGUGGCAGCAGCCUCAAGCAAAUGAGACAGUCCCCCUGGGAAGGAUGGCAGUGGAGAGCUUCUCUUCGGCAUGUCAUAUUACAUCUGCUGGUACUUUGUGACAGAUGAUGCCACAAAUAUUACUUAUUUCUUCAUCCCAUCCUCUCCAACCAUUUGAUUUCAUCGUGCUUGCACAAAGACGAGGAAUAGCAGAGGACAAAGGGGAGGGAUGGAGGUUCAGGCCAUGAAGUAACAAUGGGCUUGGAUUAUGGAGCAGAGCCAACAGAGGGAGGAGGAGCCAGGAGAGGUCCAUUUUAUACACUAAAUUGUAUUUAAUUUACAAAGCCUUUCACCCACAUAAUCUGUAAAAAAAUAUUAGUUCACUGUCUGGCGAUGUGUU